Molecule: transfer RNA, 75 nt
Filed under: Blattella germanica (German cockroach)
Lineage: Eukaryota; Metazoa; Arthropoda; Insecta; Blattodea; Blattellidae
Description: tRNA-Leu (TAA) (tRNA-Leu-TAA-30-1)
Rfam family: tRNA
About the family: Transfer RNA (tRNA) molecules are approximately 80 nucleotides in length.
Source: RNAcentral
GUCAGAAUGGCCGAGUGGUCUAAGGUGCCAGACUUAAGCUCUGAGAGGGCGUGGGUUCGAAUCCCACUGCUGACA